CGCAGAUGCCUACGAUUAACUCC
RNAcentral lists this non-coding RNA (23 nucleotides) under Drosophila melanogaster (fruit fly). Lineage: Eukaryota; Metazoa; Arthropoda; Insecta; Diptera; Drosophilidae. The record is from RNAcentral.